Molecule: ribosomal RNA, 491 nt
Filed under: uncultured bacterium
Lineage: Bacteria
Description: partial 16S ribosomal RNA
Rfam family: Bacterial small subunit ribosomal RNA
Source: RNAcentral
AGUGAACGCUGGCGGUAGGCCUAACGCAUGCCAGUCGAACGGCAGCACAGUAAGAGCUUGCUCUUACGGGUGGCGAGUGGCGGACGGGUGAGGAAUACAUCGGAAUCUACUUUUUCGUGGGGAUAACGUAGGGAAACUUACGCUAAUACCGCAUACGGCCUACGGGUGAAAGCAGGGGAUCUUCGGACCUUGCGCGAUUGAAUGAGCCGAUGUCGUAUGAGCUAGUUGGCGGGGUAAAGGCCCACCAAGUCGACGAUCCGUAGCUGGUCUGAGAGGAUGAUCAGCCACACUGGAAGUGAGACACGGUCCAGACUCCUAAGGGAGGCAGCAGUGGGGAAUAUUGGACAAUGGGCGCAAGCCUGAUCCAGCCAUACCGCGUGUGUGAAGAAGGCCUUCGGGUUGUAAAGCCCUUUUGUUGGGAAAGAAAAGCAGCAGGUUAAUACCCCGCUGUUCUGACGGUACCCAAAGAAUAAGCACCGGCUAACUUCGUG